GAUGAACGCUGGCGGCGUGCUUAACACAUGCAAGUCGAACGGGAAUUAUUUUAUUGCAACUUCGGUCGAUUUAAUUUAAUUCUAGUGGCGGACGGGUGAGUAACGCGUGGGUAACCUGCCUUAUACAGGGGGAUAACAGUCAGAAAUGGCUGCUAAUACCGCAUAAGCGCACAGAGCUGCAUGGCUCAGUGUGCAAAACUCCGGUGGUAUAAGAUGGACCCGCGUUGGAUUAGCUGGUUGGUGGGGUAACGGCCCACCAAGGCGACGAUCCAUAGCCGGCCUGAGAGGGUGAACGGCCACAUUGGGACUGAGACACGGCCCAGACUCCUACGGGAGGCAGCAGUGGGGAAUAUUGCACAAUGGGGGAAACCCUGAUGCAGCGACGCCGCGUGAAGGAAGAAGUAUCUCGGUAUGUAAACUUCUAUCAGCAGGGAAGAUAGUGACGGUACCUGACUAAGAAGCCCCGGCUAACUACGUG
This 478-nucleotide ribosomal RNA is filed under the name uncultured bacterium. Its description in RNAcentral is "partial 16S ribosomal RNA". It matches the Rfam family "Bacterial small subunit ribosomal RNA", at positions 28 to 507 of the family's 1533-position model. The record is from RNAcentral.